CUGAAGCCCCCCAGUAUGCAGCAGAGUUGGACAUUUCACCCCCUCACAGUCCACCAUUUCUCCACAGUGACCUUUCAAACACAUCAUCUUACACAUCCCCUGAGGAAAGAAGUUCUGAUGUCCGCAGCGUCUCUGAAAGUCCUGACAGUCCAGCCAGAAGUGUACACAGUGAGGACAACUCCUCGAGUGGACCAAGCACUUCAUCUCAGGAAAGCCGAUCUGAUGUAAGGGGUUUUCCUGGAUGGGAGGUGGUUGAUAAAUUGGCGGGCUAUCUUGUCAACCUAAACCGCACCAUAACAGCUUUGUCAGCCUCAGAGACAGAUGAGAUUGUGCGGCUGUACUCAAGUCUUCACACCAUGGAGUAGUCGCUGACAAAAUAUUUGCUGAAAUGUAAGCGGAAGACCUUGGCUGGGCCAUGGAGAGCAUCCAGGAAACGCAGUGGCUCUGCACCUGGUCAGCAAGUGGCUGAAAGCUGAACUGCACUAUAGUGGAUGCACGCAUAAUCACAAGUCUGAUACUUAUUUUUAAUUAAAUGUUACAUUAAAGCAAUAUCACACAAGACCAAUAAGGUUGUUCUGUAAAUGCUCACCGCAUUUUUGACUGUUCAGUAAUAUACUAGGUUUAACCGUGAAGUGGGGUUAUACUUACUAUAAUGACUCAUAACACAUCUUUUUUCUUUUCUUUAAAUUAAUAUACUGUCUGCUGUGCAAUAUUGAUCAUGUCGUUUUUUCCUUCCUAGACUGUUCAUGAUCCAUGGCCAGGCUGCCCAGAGACCUGACAGCAACAGAAUCUCUGAGUGUGUUUCCCUCAGGCUGUUGAAGGAGUAUCAGUGUGCACGAAAUAGGCCAAAAGACUGCAAGGGUAAAACUUUACCAAUUCCCCAGUCCAUCGUCCACACAUACCAGCACAUCAAACAACUGCUAGAGGACAGCCGGGUGAUUCAGGACCAAACCACCUUGGUGCUGGUGACUGUCAACAACACCACAGUAUCUUCUUGGUUGCAUGAAAGGCAGAAAAGAACUGGUCGAGACUCUUUGCUGCAAGGGGUCUAUCUUCCACAGACAGUCUCUACGGC
Molecule: long non-coding RNA, 1075 nt
Organism: Pleuronectes platessa (European plaice)
Lineage: Eukaryota; Metazoa; Chordata; Actinopteri; Pleuronectiformes; Pleuronectidae
Exons: 4
Source: RefSeq, a predicted model, not a curated record